CAGUAGCCGCGGUAAUACGUAGGGUGCGAGCGUUAAUCGGAAUUACUGGGCGUAUAGCGUGCGCAGGCGGUUUUGUAAGACAGGCGUGAAAUCCCCGGGCUCAACCUGGGAAUGGCGCUUGUGACUGCAAAGCUAGAGUGCGGCAGAGGGGGAUGGAAUUCCGCGUGUAGCAGUGAAAUGCGUAGAUAUGCGGAGGAACACCGAUGGCGAAGGCAAUCCCCUGGGCCUGCACUGACGCUCAUGCACGAAAGCGUGGGGAGCAAACAGGAUUAGAGACCCGUGUAGUCCCUGUCUCUUAUAA
This 301-nucleotide ribosomal RNA is filed under the name uncultured bacterium. RNAcentral's name for it is "partial 16S ribosomal RNA". It matches the Rfam family "Bacterial small subunit ribosomal RNA", at positions 509 to 809 of the family's 1533-position model. The record is from RNAcentral.